Molecule: non-coding RNA, 187 nt
Organism: Oryza glumipatula
Lineage: Eukaryota; Viridiplantae; Streptophyta; Magnoliopsida; Poales; Poaceae
Source: Rfam
UUUAAGUGUAGCCAUAAAUUUCCGUGUUCAAUUUUGAUCGUCCGUCUUAUUAGUAUUUUUAUUGUUAUUGGAUGACAAAAUAUGAAUAAUACUUUAUGCAUAACUUAGUUUUUAAUUUUUUUUCAAAAAAGUUUCAAAUAAAACGAACAAUCAAAGUUGGGCACAGAAAAUCAUGGCUGCACUUAAA